This is a long non-coding RNA of Ictalurus punctatus (channel catfish), 2320 nucleotides long. The record is from Ensembl. Lineage: Eukaryota; Metazoa; Chordata; Actinopteri; Siluriformes; Ictaluridae.
GGUCUGUUCAAACAUCAACAAAACUCACACACUUUAGUUUUUUUUUUUUCUGUGGAAUGAUGAUGAAUCGAAUGGACACGCACUUGAACAGUCAUGUCAGGUGUGUUUGGACGAACAGACUGCCGAGACAUCUCCAUCCCCGGCCACACAUUCCAGCUCCUCCUGGGGCGUCCCCAGACUUUCCCAAACCAUCCGUGAGAUGUAAUGUCUUCAGCGGGUCCUGGGUCUGCCCUGAGCUCUCCACUAACAUGUGCCUGGUACAUGUUAGAUAACAAGAACCUUAAUUAUACACUCCCCUCCGAAACUAUUGGAACGGCAAGGCCAGAUCGUUUUGUUUUUGCUGUAGACCGAAGACAUUUGGGUUUGAGAUCACAAGAUGAAUAUGAGAAGAGAGGUGUGUCCUGUUAGAUUGAUUAAACUAUAAAAAGCUCUGAACAGCUACAAUUGCUUUUAGCCUUCAGUUUCACCUGUGAAGAAUGCAUUUGUUGACCCAUGAAGAUCCGUGAGCUGUCUAUGGGAGAAAAGCGAGUCAUUUUGAAGAUGAGAAAAGUGGGAAACACAAUCAGAUUACAGAAUCAUUACAGUCAUUACUGAAACAUCGGGUGUAACCAAUACGACGAUUUGGAAUGUCCUGAAAAAGAAAGAAAACGCUGGUGUACUGAGGAUCAGACACCGAACGGGUCGGAUAAGGAAAAAAACAACAGGUGAUGAUAGAAACAUUGUGAGAGCUGUGAAGAAAACCCCAAAACAACAGUCAGUGACAUCACCAACAACCUCCACAGGGCAGGGUGAAGGUCUCACAAUCCACCGCUCGAAGAAGACUUCGAGAGCAGAAAUUUAGAGGCCGUACCACAAGAUUGAAACCACUCAUCAGCAGUAAGAAUCAGAAAGUCAGAUUGUAAUUCACAAAGAAAUACUGAGAUGAUCCACAAAAGUUCUGGAACAAAGAUGAACCUCUACCAAAGUGAUGGAAAGUCCAAAGUGUGGAGAAAGAAAGGAUCUGCUCAUGAUCCAGAACGUACAAGCUGAUCUGUGGAACAUGGUGGAGGUAGCGUCAUGGCUUGGGCUUGCACGGCUGCUUCUGGAACGUUCUCCCUGAUCUUUAUUGAUGAUGAACUCAUGAUGGAGCAGCAGAAUGAAUUCAGACGUUUACAGGAACAUUUUAUCUGCAGAUUUACAGAGAAACGCAUCCGAAUGAAUCAGGAGGAACUUCAUCAUGCAGCGAGACAACGAUCCAAAACACACUUCCACCUCGACACAGGACUUCAUCAGGGGAAAGUGGAAGGGUUUAGACUGGACACGUCCAUCACCAGACCUUCACCCAACUGAUCAGCACCUCACCUCCUGAAGAGGAGACUGAAGGGAGAAACCCCCCGAAACACACAACUACUGAAAGAAGCUGCAGGAGAAACCUGGAGAAGCUUCACAGAAGAAGAAACGAACAGUUUGGUGUCAGUGAGUACAGGAUUGAUGCACUUACUGCAAGCAAAGGAAACACAACCAAAUAUUACGUGCUGUUUACUUUUUAUUUACUUCAAGACUGAUCCGUUCCUAUACUUUUGCUCGCCUAAAAAUCGUGCUGUCUGAAACAAAAGGUUGUAUGGUUUAUGUUGUAUAACACAUCAAACAUAGGUUCAAAACAUAUUUAAUAUAUACUAUCUUGUUUUAAUGUCAUUUAAUUUUGUUUAUUUCUUUCUAAGAUAUUUUUUUAUUUCUUCACAUUUUUUUUUUAUAUUUGAUUGAGUUUAAUUUCUCUUCGUUAACAUUCCUUAACAUUAACGUGUUUAUUGUAUUUGUGUCGUAUUGUAUUUUUCAUUUAAUGCUUUUAAUUGUCUUUAAUGUCUGUAAUAUCAAAUCAUCUUUUGUUUCGUCCCACUUUCUUUUUCUUAAAUACUUUCACCACCCUACUCACUGAUAGCUGAUUUAUUUAUUUAUUUAUUUAUUUAUUUAUUUAUAUCUGUGUUUUACUGCAUUUCUGUGUGAAUAAAGGUGACCUCCGUAAACACAACACGUUCCCCGUUCCUCCUGUGAGAACUCGAGAACAGGAGUCCGUGGGCUAACGGAGAGGAAACAGGAACAAGACGCUAACCCGAUUAUCCUCUGUAGCACAUUUAACAUGAAAUGAAACAUUUUUCUGCUGAACUAAUCAACGGGACGUUUGGCUAAUAAAUGCGAUUAGCGUUUCCAGGAACUGGGCCGUGCACAAAGGCUCCACUGUGGAUGCGAUAGGCUUCGUUUCUUAUUACGAUGGUUAUAAUGCUUUAUAAUCUUGACAUCUACAUGCACAUGCACGUAGAGAGAGAGAGAGAGAGAGAGAGAG